This 864-nucleotide long non-coding RNA is filed under the name Monodelphis domestica (gray short-tailed opossum). RNAcentral describes it as "lncRNA (ENSMODG00000046876.1)". The record is from RNAcentral. Lineage: Eukaryota; Metazoa; Chordata; Mammalia; Didelphimorphia; Didelphidae.
GUUAUUUUCUUACAGAUGAGUAAACUGAGGCCCAGAAAAAUGACUUGGCCUGGUCAAAUGAGGUAUCGGUGACAGAACGCUUGAAUCCUAGUGGAGGGCUCUUUCCAGAAGGAUGAGUUGCUUCUUAGAAUUUAUCCAUUUUUUGCCAAUUAGUAGGGACUUAAAACACUGUUUGCAAACAACAAAAACAACCCUUUUCCUCUCUCCCCUCUAGCUCCUGCCCCACCUUUUGCCAGGCUGGAUUAGCUGCAACUGAGCACUUUUACAUACAGUGCCUCCCCCACCUCUUCCAUUCUGAGAAAGGACAGAAGAACAGGAUAUGAGGAAAAGGCAUCAAGAUCCCUAAAUCUAGACAUGGGAAAUGGAGGAGGAGGGGAGACAGCAACCAUCAGGCCUCCUACGCACUUUGAAGAUGGUCCAUCAAAGCAGAAAAAAAUCAUGGAAGAGGUUGAGUCAUGGACUUUUCAUGGCAACACUGAACAUGGUACCACUGAACAUGGAAGCCAGUGGGAGAGUUGAAUUUCAUUUCCAGUUCUACCACAAACAACAUAUACACAGCCCCUUCUGCUUUCUUGGCCUUACCUUCAACAUCAAAAAAAUGAUGACAUAUCACUAGCUGAUCUCAACAUCAGCUCUUCUUCUUGAAAUGGACUCUAUCAUGCCCUUGGACAGGUAUCUUCUUCCUGAGGUUCUUCUUCCCUCACUUAUUAGCUUAUUUUUGUGUAUUGUCUUCCCCAUUAGAUAGUAAGCUGCUUGAGAGCAGGAACUUUCUUUUUCUUGAUUGUAUCCCCAGUGCUUGGCAAAGUGUCUGACACCUAGUAGGUGUUUAAUAAAUAUUUAUCACCUGACUGACUUACUAACUCU